CAGGGCUGAUUUCAAGCCCUUCAGGGCAGGAGUGGGUGACCACCCCGCUGCAGUCUAGAAAAGACUUUAUUCACAGACAUGGGAAGAGAGAUGGCAAGGGUCUGGUGAUUCAGAAUAAUGGCUAAGAAAAAGUGAGUGAGCUGGUCGUAAAUCCCAGAACACAUCAUUACCCCAUGCAACUCAUUGCCACUGGAUAGCACGGAGGCCAAGCAGUCAGUAAGAUUUGAGAAGGGAUUCUCCAUCUAUACACGUAAUGGGAACAGCCACUGUUAUAUGGGCUAUAAACCUUUGUGCUUCAGGGUAUAAGCCAACCUCUCACUGAAGGUGUUAAAAAGAAACUGUGUAGGGCAGGUUAUUCUGUAAUAGACCAAUGUGAGGUUUCUUGUAUCUUACUCUGAAACAGCUGGUA
This is a long non-coding RNA of Chelonia mydas (Green sea turtle), 409 nucleotides long. RefSeq lists it as uncharacterized. The record is from RefSeq and is a predicted model, not a curated record. NCBI's taxonomy places the organism in Eukaryota, Metazoa, Chordata, Testudines, Cheloniidae. The transcript has 3 exons.